CCUACGGGAGGCAGCAGUGGGGGAUAUUGCACAAUGGGGGAAACCCUGAUGCAGCGACGCCGCGUGUGGGAAGACGGUCUUCUGGAUUGUAAACCACUGUCCCCAGGGACGAAAAUGACGGUACCUGGGGAGGAAGCUCCGGCUAACUACGUGCCAGCAGCCGCGGUAAUACGUAGGGAGCAAGCGUUGUCCGGAAUUACUGGGUGUAAAGGGAGCGUAGGCGGGGAUGCAAGUUGGGUGUCAAAACUACCGGCUCAACCGAUAGUCGCACUCAAAACUGCAGCUCUUGAGUGAAGUAGAGGCAGGCGGAAUUCCUAGUGUAGCGGUGAAAUGCGUAGAGAUCGGGAGGAACACCAGUGGCGAAGGCGGCCUGCUGGGCUCUAACUGACGCUGAGGCACGAAAGCGUGGGUAGCAAACAGGAUUAGAUACCCUUGUAGUC
Molecule: ribosomal RNA, 440 nt
Filed under: uncultured bacterium
Lineage: Bacteria
Description: partial 16S ribosomal RNA
Rfam family: Bacterial small subunit ribosomal RNA
Source: RNAcentral